Sinocyclocheilus anshuiensis is the source of this 457-nucleotide long non-coding RNA. RefSeq lists it as uncharacterized. NCBI's taxonomy places the organism in Eukaryota, Metazoa, Chordata, Actinopteri, Cypriniformes, Cyprinidae. The transcript is spliced from 5 exons. The record is from RefSeq and is a predicted model, not a curated record.
UCACACGUGUUCAUUGCUUCUUGCACAAGAUCACGCAAUCGGUAGGAGACAGCAUGAGCGGGUGUAGUAUGGGUAUUGAUUGUCCAUCUAAACCCCCUGACUGAAGAAACUUUUAAAGCUUCUACGAUGUUUUACCUAUAAAGGCUCAAAUAUUUUCAGCUGUGAGGCAGCGGCUACAGUUGUGCUGAAGAAUCCUUCUCUAACUGUUACUUGCUAAUGGCGGAGAAUGUAAGAACUACAGUCAUUAGAUUCCAUUGAUGGCUUCAUUUUGGGGCACAUGUAUUCGGUGACUGGUUGCUUGUUCAUCGGCAGUGAUGCAACUUGAGUAGAGCUAGUUUUAUUGCUGUGUUUGGAGAACAUCUGAAAUGAGUGGUGGUGUUUGUUGUUAAACCAUGUUUGUAUUGCAUAAAUGUUUAUGCAUUGAUUGUUACCAAUAAAGAAAGAUGCUUGCUUGUAA